RNAcentral lists this transfer RNA (73 nucleotides) under Cordylochernes scorpioides. Its description in RNAcentral is "tRNA-Thr". The record is from RNAcentral. Lineage: Eukaryota; Metazoa; Arthropoda; Arachnida; Pseudoscorpiones; Chernetidae.
UCCAAUAUAGCCUGGUGGACGUGGCGCCUGCCCGGUGGGCGGAGGGUUGUGGGUUCGAUUCCCGCUCCUGGAC